GGGUUGUGAGGUUAAGCGACUAAGCGUACACGGUGGAUGCCCUGGCAGUCAGAGGCGAUGAAGGACGUGCUAAUCUGCGAUAAGCGUCGGUAAGGUGAUAUGAACCGUUAUAACCGGCGAUUUCCGAAUGGGGAAACCCAGUGUGAUUCGUCACACUAUCAUUAACUGAAUCCAUAGGUUAAUGAGGCGAACCGGGGGAACUGAAACAUCUAAGUACCCCGAGGAAAAGAAAUCAACCGAGAUUCCCCCAGUAGCGGCGAGCGAACGGGGAGCAGCCCAGAGCCUGAAUCAGUGUGUGUGUUAGUGGAAGCGUCUGGAAAGGCGCGCGAUACAGGGUGACAGCCCCGUACACAAAAAUGCACAUGCUGUGAGCUCGAUGAGUAGGGCGGGACACGUGGUAUCCUGUCUGAAUAUGGGGGGACCAUCCUCCAAGGCUAAAUACUCCUGACUGACCGAUAGUGAACCAGUACCGUGAGGGAAAGGCGAAAAGAACCCCGGCGAGGGGAGUGAAAAAGAACCUGAAACCGUGUACGUACAAGCAGUGGGAGCACGCUUAGGCGUGUGACUGCGUACCUUUUGUAUAAUGGGUCAGCGACUUAUAUUCUGUAGCAAGGUUAACCGAAUAGGGGAGCCGAAGGGAAACCGAGUCUUAACUGGGCGUUAAGUUGCAGGGUAUAGACCCGAAACCCGGUGAUCUAGCCAUGGGCAGGUUGAAGGUUGGGUAACACUAACUGGAGGACCGAACCGACUAAUGUUGAAAAAUUAGCGGAUGACUUGUGGCUGGGGGUGAAAGGCCAAUCAAACCGGGAGAUAGCUGGUUCUCCCCGAAAGCUAUUUAGGUAGCGCCUCGUGAACUCAUCUCCGGGGGUAGAGCACUGUUUCGGCAAGGGGGUCAUCCCGACUUACCAACCCGAUGCAAACUGCGAAUACCGGAGAAUGUUAUCACGGGAGACACACGGCGGGUGCUAACGUCCGUCGUGAAGAGGGAAACAACCCAGACCGCCAGCUAAGGUCCCAAAGUCAUGGUUAAGUGGGAAACGAUGUGGGAAGGCCCAGACAGCCAGGAUGUUGGCUUAGAAGCAGCCAUCAUUUAAAGAAAGCGUAAUAGCUCACUGGUCGAGUCGGCCUGCGCGGAAGAUGUAACGGGGCUAAACCAUGCACCGAAGCUGCGGCAGCGACGCUUAUGCGUUGUUGGGUAGGGGAGCGUUCUGUAAGCCUGUGAAGGUGUGCUGUGAGGCAUGCUGGAGGUAUCAGAAGUGCGAAUGCUGACAUAAGUAACGAUAAAGCGGGUGAAAAGCCCGCUCGCCGGAAGACCAAGGGUUCCUGUCCAACGUUAAUCGGGGCAGGGUGAGUCGACCCCUAAGGCGAGGCCGAAAGGCGUAGUCGAUGGGAAACAGGUUAAUAUUCCUGUACUUGGUGUUACUGCGAAGGGGGGACGGAGAAGGCUAUGUUGGCCGGGCGACGGUUGUCCCGGUUUAAGCGUGUAGGCUGGUUUUCCAGGCAAAUCCGGAAAAUCAAGGCUGAGGCGUGAUGACGAGGCACUACGGUGCUGAAGCAACAAAUGCCCUGCUUCCAGGAAAAGCCUCUAAGCAUCAGGUAACAUCAAAUCGUACCCCAAACCGACACAGGUGGUCAGGUAGAGAAUACCAAGGCGCUUGAGAGAACUCGGGUGAAGGAACUAGGCAAAAUGGUGCCGUAACUUCGGGAGAAGGCACGCUGAUAUGUAGGUGAAGUCCCUCGCGGAUGGAGCUGAAAUCAGUCGAAGAUACCAGCUGGCUGCAACUGUUUAUUAAAAACACAGCACUGUGCAAACACGAAAGUGGACGUAUACGGUGUGACGCCUGCCCGGUGCCGGAAGGUUAAUUGAUGGGGUCAGCGCAAGCGAAGCUCUUGAUCGAAGCCCCGGUAAACGGCGGCCGUAACUAUAACGGUCCUAAGGUAGCGAAAUUCCUUGUCGGGUAAGUUCCGACCUGCACGAAUGGCGUAAUGAUGGCCAGGCUGUCUCCACCCGAGACUCAGUGAAAUUGAACUCGCUGUGAAGAUGCAGUGUACCCGCGGCAAGACGGAAAGACCCCGUGAACCUUUACUAUAGCUUGACACUGAACAUUGAGCCUUGAUGUGUAGGAUAGGUGGGAGGCUUAGAAGUGUGGACGCCAGUCUGCAUGGAGCCGACCUUGAAAUACCACCCUUUAAUGUUUGAUGUUCUAACGUUGACCCGUAAUCCGGGUUGCGGACAGUGUCUGGUGGGUAGUUUGACUGGGGCGGUCUCCUCCUAAAGAGUAACGGAGGAGCACGAAGGUUGGCUAAUCCUGGUCGGACAUCAGGAGGUUAGUGCAAUGGCAUAAGCCAGCUUGACUGCGAGCGUGACGGCGCGAGCAGGUGCGAAAGCAGGUCAUAGUGAUCCGGUGGUUCUGAAUGGAAGGGCCAUCGCUCAACGGAUAAAAGGUACUCCGGGGAUAACAGGCUGAUACCGCCCAAGAGUUCAUAUCGACGGCGGUGUUUGGCACCUCGAUGUCGGCUCAUCACAUCCUGGGGCUGAAGUAGGUCCCAAGGGUAUGGCUGUUCGCCAUUUAAAGUGGUACGCGAGCUGGGUUUAGAACGUCGUGAGACAGUUCGGUCCCUAUCUGCCGUGGGCGCUGGAGAACUGAGGGGGGCUGCUCCUAGUACGAGAGGACCGGAGUGGACGCAUCACUGGUGUUCGGGUUGUCAUGCCAAUGGCACUGCCCGGUAGCUAAAUGCGGAAGAGAUAAGUGCUGAAAGCAUCUAAGCACGAAACUUGCCCCGAGAUGAGUUCUCCCUGACUCCUUGAGAGUCCUGAAGGAACGUUGAAGACGACGACGUUGAUAGGCCGGGUGUGUAAGCGCAGCGAUGCGUUGAGCUAACCGGUACUAAUGAACCGUGAGGCUUAACCUUACAACGCCGAAGCUGUU
RNAcentral lists this ribosomal RNA (2930 nucleotides) under Escherichia coli. RNAcentral describes it as "23S ribosomal RNA". It matches the Rfam family "Bacterial large subunit ribosomal RNA". The record is from RNAcentral. Lineage: Bacteria; Pseudomonadati; Pseudomonadota; Gammaproteobacteria; Enterobacterales; Enterobacteriaceae.